UGGAACUGAUCAAGAUCAACUUAGAAAAGGCUAAAGAAGCAAUGAAAAGGCAAGCGGAUCAACACAGAACUCACAUAGAAUUCUAGGAAGGAGAUUGGGUUUUUGUCAAGUUCAAACCCUAUCGGCAAAUGUCUGUAGCAUACAGAUUUCACCAUAAGCUAUCUCCCCGAUAUUUUGGGCCAUUUCAAGUCGAAAAGAAAAUCAGUACAGUUGCCUAUAAAAUUACAUUGCCUACUAACAGUGCUAUACACCCAAUUUUUCAUAUUUCAGUGCUCAAAUUAUACAAGGGUGAGCUUCCCCCAAAGAAAUUCAAUUGCUUACCGGCCAGAUUUAGCUGUGAAUAACGAGCCCGUUAUUUUUCCGGAGGAGGUGCUGGAGGAGAGGACGCUGCUGGUCGACGGGAAGCCCGUAGAGCAAAUACGAAUUAAAUGGCAUGGUCUGGAGGAGGAAAAGAGCUGAUCAUGGGAAGACAAGGUAACUUUGUCAAGGUUAUUUCCAACCAUUAACCUUGAGGUCAAGGGUAAUCUUAUGGGGGAUGGAAAUUAUAGGGAGACUUACCAGAACGCGAUGUUGGAGGAGACGCGACGGCUGAUCCAGGACCUGAGAGACGGACCCGACGAGUUGGAGGACGGCGUCGCCAAGUCACCGGCAGAGGAAGGGAAUAACGAUCUCCCAACUGUCGCUUUGGGGAUUGCUAAUCGGAGUCGGAGGAACCGGUACCCGAGUACCUAGUUGGCGGGUUAUGAAAC
RNAcentral lists this long non-coding RNA (749 nucleotides) under Zostera marina. RNAcentral's name for it is "long non-coding RNA (ZMAR_LNC001372)". The record is from RNAcentral. Lineage: Eukaryota; Viridiplantae; Streptophyta; Magnoliopsida; Alismatales; Zosteraceae.